Molecule: long non-coding RNA, 998 nt
Organism: Oreochromis niloticus (Nile tilapia)
Lineage: Eukaryota; Metazoa; Chordata; Actinopteri; Cichliformes; Cichlidae
Exons: 4
Source: RefSeq, a predicted model, not a curated record
UCCUCUCUCUCUGAUUAGCGCUCAUUGUGUCUGAGAGUAUUUACAUUAUCAUAGUAUUUUUUAUUUUAUUUCCCUCUGUUCUUUGUGUGAGUAUCUGUUUAUCUGCCCUUCAGUGUGUUUUGAAUAUGUUUUGGAUUUUGGAUCAGGCAUUGCGUUUGUUCCCCAGUACUUUGUUCUUUUUUAAUGGACUUCUGCUUUCCACCUGACCCCUUGGAGGAAGUAGUCUGGAUCCAAUUCCAAAAGAACUCCAGAGCAGUUUGUUGAUGGUGAGAAUAUGAUGCAACUUCAAUGCAACUUGAAGUUUAAGCUAAACACCUUCACUCAACCAGGCAACAGACAGGAAGAGCAUCACUUGGAGACGUCAAAACCACAGGAAGAGCUCACAGAAAGACGCAUCACGCAGAUGUGCCAUGAAACAUCGAGGGUCUAGUCGAAUAAAACCGCCUCUCUCCGUGAUGGGAAAUGCCACGGGGUCCAAGAAAGAUGUCAAGGAGGACGUUUGGGCUGUAGCAAAUGUAAACACAAUGAGGAGGAACUCAGAUUUGCUGAUUGAACUCACCGAACAGAACAUCUCCCAUGCGUUUGCAACGCUGGUGCCUUUUGGAACAUUUUUAAUGCAAAUAAAAUGACAAGUCCAGAUAAUUGUACUAACAGAAGUCUGCACUGCAGUUAUGAUGGGGAAAAAUCUAGUAUUUUAUUACUCUGUUAAUAAAUACCUUUAAAUUGUAUCUGUGUCAAUGCAAUGCACCCACAAAGUUAAAGAACCAGCCUAAAUAUGGCUCCAAAGGGUUCAUUUACUUUUCCCUACCACACGAGUCUUGCUCUGCACAUACGUGGCAUGCAGAGCAGGAUUCGUGUGUGUGUGUGCAUGUUCAUGUGUGAACCCAGCUCACUGAGAAAACGUCCACAUAUGAUUUAUCUUCACUCAGUAAUGCCGCCCCUUGUCAUGCAUGUAAAAUUCAUCCUUAUUUCUCUGCUGCCUGCUCUCUCUCUCUGCU